Long non-coding RNA from Lynx canadensis (Canada lynx), 3519 nucleotides. RefSeq lists it as uncharacterized. The transcript has 3 exons. NCBI's taxonomy places the organism in Eukaryota, Metazoa, Chordata, Mammalia, Carnivora, Felidae. The record is from RefSeq and is a predicted model, not a curated record.
CCCCCAACUCUCUUUCUCUUUCUCUCAAAAAAUAAAUUAAUUAAAAAAAAAUAAGACCAAAACCUCUCCUCACAGAACCCGACACCGCCCCCCUCCCAGGCCCCUUCACCCUCCUCCAGCACCGUAUAGUUCACAUAUUUAUUGUGAAUAUUAUCCUGUAACACUAUGUAUAAUUCAUGUAUUUAUCACAUAUUAUGUGUUUCCUUCUCCUGUUGGCAUUUAAACCCCACAAAAGCAGGCUCUCCGUCCCUUUUGUUCGCGGAUGUGUCCAGGCACCUAGAAACAGCACUUAACAGCCAAUACUUGUUGAACGAAUGGAUGGAUGUUUGCGAUGACUUUUAACAGGUGCUUUCGGUCUAGUGUCUGCAGAAAAGCUGUGAGUGUCCCACCGGCAUCCCCUCCACCUACCCUAAAGGUCACCAACAGAUAGUUCCCGAAAAGCAGAUGCGUCCUGGGUCUCAGGCCAUGUGCUCCUGGGAGGAGUCAGAAGUGCCAGGACUUCACCCCAAGGAGCAGCCCAGGAGGGUGGGAGUUGGUGGGGAGACCCCCAGCUUUCUUGCCCCGCCAUGGGACUGAGCCUCACUUGUGCACAGCAGCAGCCCCACUCACUAAUAUCCCUGAACUGGCUUCCUUCCCCCCCACCCCGCCUCACCCCCCCCCCGCCCCACUCUCACAGCACUUCCCAAAUAAGUGGCAUGACCCUAAAUCCUUGUUUCAGGGCUUGCCUUCAGCCUACAGGAAGGCAGACUAAGCCAGUCUCCUGGUUUGAAAUACUAAGGUUGCCAGCCACAUUCUUAAAAAGCUUUUGCAUUGACCCAUAGAUGGGACUUCAGAUAUUUCCCCCCGAGGAAGACUGCAGGAUUUACCCCCUUAAGAAUUUUGGAGCCAGGGGACUAUCUGAAGCUUUUAGCCAAGUAGAUCAGAAGAGUUCUUGGAAUGGGGUGAGGGAUGUUCCAUCAAGGCAAGAGUGGAGAUCGAAGAAUUGCUCUCGAUAUUCUGACAGCCUGAAAGAAAUCAUCCGAUCCAUUUACCAAUGACAAAACCAUGCAGGCUAAAUGUUAACAUUCACUAUUAGGGGCUGGAGGCAUCCCUCCUUCUUGGGGUAGAUUAUUCGGACCGAAAGCUAUUACCUCACAGAUCUAAGGUUAACUUUUACAAAGAGGAGAGACAAAUUACUCAUUCAUCAAGAACAUUGGUGUUUGAAGGAAUCUUUCUAAACAGGCUUUUGGUGUAAGCACAGUUGGGUAUCACUAAUCCAGCCUCCUUGCUCUACACAGGAGGCAUCUGAGGCCAGAGAAGGCCAGUGGACUUGGCCAAGGUCACUCAGCUGGGAGUGAAGGGCCAGGUCUUGAACUUGGGCCUCUGAACACCACUCCCCCAAGUUUUACACUCUUACUUCACACAGGAAGGAAAUGGCAUGCUUUGGAGAAUCUAGGACUGUUGUUUCCUCUGGAAGAUAUUUUGAUAGAUGCAAAAUUUUCCCUAAAAAGCACAGUGAGUGAAUUUUACCCAUUAGGAGAUAAAUAGGCUGCAAUGACAAAAUGCUGGAUAUUUACAUCUAAUGAGCUUCUCUGUGGGAAACAGCUGCAUGGCACAUGAAGAAUGGUAAGAAGGACACAUUUACUCAUUCUGGAAGCAGUGUGGUGUAAUUACAUGCCUGGCACAGUACCUAGGACAGAGCAGGCUCCUAGAGCUCACCUCUUUGAUCUUGGACAAAUGACAUGAACCUCUCCAGACCUCUUUCUCCUCAUGUGUCCACUGUUGUGGGGAGAGAGACCUCAAGAUCCAGCGGGGGAGAACCUGGUUUCAAAUGUCAACUUUGCUAUGGGGUCCUAGGUAAGGCACUCCAUCCCUCUGAGCCUCGGUUCCCACUACUGUAAGCAGAGAAUGGAUUAAAGACCCUCUAAGAUGCCCUUGUAGCUCAAAAUUCCCACAUCCCCUUUCCACCUCUCACAAUCUCUGACUUUAUUGGCUUUGGAAUUGAUUUGUUUUGGAGAUCGAUUCUUUGUAAACCUAAGUAAAAAUAAAAUGACACCUUGCCUUCAGUCGGGCUAAUCCCAAGCAAGCAGCUCAAGAGAUGAGCAAAGAAGCGUCAAGCAGACAACUAGAAGUGAGGGCAGCCACAGCAGUUCUGAAACCUGUUUCCUUACAGCCAAAGGUGAUCCUUGGGCAAUUACUCCCAUCCGCAUGAUAGCCGGUAGGAAAGGAAGUUCAGAGGACCUAAUGCCACAAACCCAGGAAAGAUUGUGAGCAAGAGGAAAUAGGAUUUCCUCAAAGCCUCGUUCUUCGAUUCCUUUUUGAACUUCAGGGGGCGUUUUGUUCCAGAACCCUUUGCAGGAGGUCAUGUCACCAUCCCGACCUGGCCUCUCUCGAAGUGGGUUCUCCAGGGCAGGAACCGGGAACAUAGGUUUCUGAAAGAACGUUGCACACAGUAAAUCCUGCGUUCAGGUUUAAUUCUUGAUCUGGUUUGCAUUAUCUGUGUGUGUGUGGUGGCGGGGGGGGGUGGGGAGGUAUGGGGGUGUGGGGUGGUAGUAAAUAAUGUGAUUGCUUUCUGUUUUAAGCAGAACUUUCAGAAGCUAUAUCCCCAAAUGAUCACAUACCUUAGACAGCCAUCAACUCAUACCAGCCAUGCUACCCUGGGGAAAUACUUCUUAGAAUCCCCCCCUCAGACUUGCCUUUGGAGUCGAAGGCAGAAUCUUCAGAACUUUUUCAACGUUACAGAAAUGGGAUCUUGUAGGUGUGAAUCUGAAGGUCAGCCACAGCCACAAGUCUUUCAGAGCAAGACUUGUGGAUAAGAGGGGUUCUCCGGCUCUUUUAACAACAGGCAGAAGAAUGUGUCCUGAUAAAUGUGGGAGGAAUGACAAGAUUAGAGCGUCAUCGUUUUGUAACUCCUGGGGAAAUAAUUGAUUCAGGCAAUGACGACUAAUCUGUGAACUCAUCAGAUGACGGACUGAUGGGGGACCUGACCAUAGAGGGAUCAAGCUGCGCUCCUGGAACCAGCGAUCAAUCUGAGUGCCACGGGAAGUGGGACAGCGUGUGUGUCCCGAUGUGUGGCAAUAGGCAGCCUGCGGUACCGCCUGGAGGUGUUCUUGUCACGAAUGCCAGUGGUGCCCCUCGAGUCGGCUGUCAUUUACAGGAAUUACGGAGGAAUAGGGGAACAAGGAAAAUGACUUCCAUGAGACCACACGGAGGCAAAGAAACAAAUCCAGAAGAGUGCCAGCUGUUCCUUUUCAUCUCAGCCACGACUUUCCUGCCAGCCUCGGUCCCUCCCUCGCACGAUGUGGAGCAGGUGUUCUGGGACCCGUGGAACAUUGCAGCAUUCAGGGCCCCCUGUGCCCUCUGGACGGUCUUAACACCAUGAUCCAAGAGACGAAAAUUCACAUAUGAUGCAAAUUUUCUCUGUUCGGGGAGCACAGCCUCUUAGGAAAACAGAUGGUGGGGCCAGCUGCCUGGCUUGAAUCCCAGCUGCAUUCUCUGUGUCCUUGGCGAGUUACUUCUCUUCGCCUCGGUCUCCUCAUC